Molecule: ribosomal RNA, 301 nt
Filed under: uncultured bacterium
Lineage: Bacteria
Description: partial 16S ribosomal RNA
Rfam family: Bacterial small subunit ribosomal RNA
Source: RNAcentral
CAGCAGCCGCGGUAAUACGAAGGUCCCAAGCGUUGUUCGGAAUCACUGGGCGUAAAGGGAGCGUAGGCGGCGUGGUAAGUCAGAUGUGAAAUCCCGGGGCUCAACCCCGGAACUGCAUUUGAUACUGCCAUGCUUGAGGGUUGGAGAGGUAGCUGGAAUUCUUGGUGUAGCAGUGAAAUGCGUGGAUAUCAAGAGGAACACUCGUGGCGAAGGCGAGCUACUGGACAACAUCUGACGCUGAGGCUCGAAGGCCAGGGUAGCGAAAGGGAUUAGAUACCCCGGUAGUCCCUGUCUCUUAUAC